UGAGGAAUAUUGGUCAAUGGGCGCAAGCCUGAACCAGCCAUCCCGCGUGAAGGAAGAAGGCGCUAUGCGUUGUAAACUUCUUUUCCAGGGGAAUAAAAUUCUGUACGUGUACGGAAUUGAAGGUACCCUGGGAAUAAGCAUCGGCUAACUCCGUGCCAGCAGCCGCGGUAAUACGGAGGAUGCAAGCGUUAUCCGGAUUUAUUGGGUUUAAAGGGUGCGCAGGCGGAGUAGUAAGUCAGUGGUGAAAACCUGCAGCUUAACUGUAGAAUUGCCGUUGAUACUGCUGCUCUUGAGUAUGGUCAAGGUAGGCGGAAUGUGUAAUGUAGCGGUGAAAUGCUUAGAUAUUACACAGAACACCGAUUGCGAAGGCAGCUUGCUGGGCCAUUACUGACGCUCAUGCACGAAAGCGUGGGGAUCGAACAGG
RNAcentral lists this ribosomal RNA (424 nucleotides) under uncultured prokaryote. RNAcentral's name for it is "bacterial SSU rRNA". It matches the Rfam family "Bacterial small subunit ribosomal RNA", at positions 355 to 776 of the family's 1533-position model. The record is from RNAcentral. RNAcentral also lists the same sequence under 1 other name.